UCAAUCACUCAGCUCAGCUCC
This 21-nucleotide non-coding RNA is filed under the name Caenorhabditis elegans. Lineage: Eukaryota; Metazoa; Nematoda; Chromadorea; Rhabditida; Rhabditidae. The record is from RNAcentral.